This 538-nucleotide transfer RNA is filed under the name uncultured Prochlorococcus sp. Its description in RNAcentral is "partial 16S-23S ribosomal RNA intergenic spacer". The stretch from base 209 to 281 matches the Rfam family "tRNA". The record is from RNAcentral. Lineage: Bacteria; Bacillati; Cyanobacteriota; Cyanophyceae; Synechococcales; Prochlorococcaceae.
CAGGGAGACAACAAAAUGUUUAAUAUUAUUUUGUCACCUUAGGUCGAUCGGUAUCUCACGUUCUUAACUAAUUAAGAAUUUCAAUUCCUAAGUUUUUCUAGGUCACACCCAUUAUUUUUCCUGGGCCAUUAGCUCAGGUGGUUAGAGCGCACCCCUGAUAAGGGUGAGGUCCCUGGUUCAAGUCCAGGAUGGCCCAUAUCUCUAUGUUGGGGGUAUAGCUCAGUUGGUAGAGCGCCUGCUUUGCAAGCAGGAUGUCAGCGGUUCGAGUCCGCUUACCUCCACUGAUUACCACCUCUUCCAUAAUCUGUAGAAAGGAAAUUUUUUGAGUUGUGAUCAACUUCUGAACGAAUCUAGCUUCCUAAUGAAAGUAUUAAGAUGCUGGACUCAUUGAAUUAAUUUCAUUGUUUUCAGAGAACCUUGACAACUGCAUAGAUUAUUUUUUAAAGACAAUAAGCAUCUUUAAUGAUGCAGAUUUAUUAUUUGUGCGAAUGCAUUAAUAACAAUUCUAUUAAGCUGAUGCUUCAAUUUUGAAGUUAUU